This 600-nucleotide ribosomal RNA is filed under the name uncultured bacterium. Its description in RNAcentral is "bacterial SSU rRNA". It matches the Rfam family "Bacterial small subunit ribosomal RNA", at positions 745 to 1348 of the family's 1533-position model. The record is from RNAcentral.
GCUCAUGCACGAAAGCGCGGGUAUCGAACAGGAUUAGAUACCCUGGUAGUCCGCGCGGUAAACGAUGAUCACUCGCUGUACGGGUAAAGAUCCGUGUGGCCAAGCGAAAGCGAUAAGUGAUCCACCUGGGGAGUACGGCGGCAACGCUGAAACUCAAAGGAAUUGACGGGGGCCCGCACAAGCGGAGGAACAUGUGGUUUAAUUCGAUGAUACGCGAGGAACCUUACCCGGGCUCAAACGCGCGGUGAAGCCGACGAAAGUUGGUGGCCCAGCAAUGGGAGCCGCGCGAGGUGCUGCAUGGUUGUCGUCAGCUCGUGCCGUGAGGUGUUGGCUUAAGUGCCAUAACGAGCGCAACCCCUGUCCACAGUUGCCAGCGGUUCAAGCCGGGGACUCUGUGGAGACUGCCGCCGCAAGGUGCGAGGAAGGCGGGGAUGACGUCAAAUCAGCACGGCCCUUACGUCCGGGGCGACACACGUGUUACAAUGGCCGGUACAGCGGGCAGCCACCCUGCGAAGGGGCGCGAAUCCCGAAAGCCGGUCUUAGUUCGGACUGGAGUCUGGAACCCGACUCCACGAAGCCGGAUUCGCUAGUAAUCGCGCA